CUUUUGCGGGUGGCGGCGGGCGCGGAGAGGACGCCAUGAAGGCUUCGGGCACCCUACGAGAGUACAAGGUGGUGGGUCGCUGCCUGCGCACCCCAAAUGCCACACACCACCCCUCUACCGCAUGCAAAUCUUUGCGCCUAAUCAUGUCGUCGCCAAGUCCCGCUUCUGGUACUUCGUAUCUCAGUUAAAGAAGAUGAAGAAGUCUUCAGGGGAGACUGUCUACUGUGGGCAGGUGUUUGAGACGCGCCCCCUGCCGGUGAAGAACUUCGGCAUCUGGCUGCGCUGUGACUCCCGGAGCGGCACCCACAACACGUACCGGGAGUACCGGAAGCUGACCACUGCGGGUGCUGUCACCCAGUGCUACCGAGAUACGGGCGCUCGGCACCGCGCCCGGGCCCACUCCAUUCAGAUCAUGAAGGUGGAGGAGAUUGCAGCCAGCAAGUGCCGUCGGCCAGCUGUCAAGCAGUUCCACGACUCCAAGAUCAAGUUCCCGCUGCCCCACCGGGUCCUGCGCCGUCAGCACAAGCCACGCUUCACCACCAAGAGGCCCAACACCUUCUAGGUGCAGGGCCUUCGCCCGGGUGUGCCCCAAAUAACCUCAGAAACGUCCCGGUGGGAAAAAAAAAAAA
RNA transcript from Mandrillus leucophaeus (drill), 629 nucleotides. It is a transcript of the gene named 60S ribosomal protein L18a pseudogene, with no coding region annotated. Lineage: Eukaryota; Metazoa; Chordata; Mammalia; Primates; Cercopithecidae. The record is from RefSeq and is a predicted model, not a curated record. The transcript has a single exon.